GCGAGAGGCCGGGCAUUCGUAGGCUUCGCCGCGCGGUAGUGCGCGUGCGUAGCGACGGAAGCCCGACGCCUCAAGCAAGGAAGAGGAGAGGAGAAGGAGGGGAGUCGACGUUGGUGACGCGAGCGCGCCUGCGCAGGCGAAACGAGCCGCGGGCGGGGGAGUCAGAAGCUGAGCCUGCCGCAGGGCGGCGCCAAAACAGUGACUUCAUCGCGCACAAACGCAGCCCCGCCCAUCACCAUGGUUACCAUAUCACCCUCCCCGGAGGAAGAGAAGGCCUCUGGUUUGGUUUUGCCGCAAUUUCCAUAUUAAAGAAAGAAGUUCCCCUCAUCUCACGAUCAAGAACCUGGGGCGGGAUCUGAUCUCACAGAUAAAGAUCUGGAGCUCAUCAACCACGUGGAUCUUAUUGGCUAUGACUAGUUUGAAGGACUGGUCUGCUCAAAACAACACUGGAAAAGGAACUGGCAUAGUUGUUUGACAGAGUCUUUAUACUCUGAAGUCGGAUGUCAAUUUCAGAGGAACUUCCAGUAUGCAGCUGAAACAGAACAAAGAGGCAGUUUGACAGACAGCUGUGGGACUUCUCCUUGCCAAACUCUGAUCCCAGAGACAAAAACAAAUUAAUAAUAUAUCUCCAACAACAGAUAAGUGACAUAAAGCUUUAUUGAAUUCCAGACCCAUCUGGUUGGCCACUGGAAAAUGAGA
Long non-coding RNA from Podarcis raffonei (Aeolian wall lizard), 699 nucleotides. RefSeq lists it as uncharacterized. The record is from RefSeq and is a predicted model, not a curated record. Lineage: Eukaryota; Metazoa; Chordata; Lepidosauria; Squamata; Lacertidae. The transcript is spliced from 2 exons.